RNAcentral lists this long non-coding RNA (240 nucleotides) under Trifolium pratense (red clover). RNAcentral's name for it is "long non-coding RNA (TPRA_LNC007025)". Lineage: Eukaryota; Viridiplantae; Streptophyta; Magnoliopsida; Fabales; Fabaceae. The record is from RNAcentral.
GAUAGUUAUGACAUGGUUUAUAAAAGGAAACGUGGGCAGAGGGAUAAAGCGAAUCAUUCCAUUAUAAGAAUGUUUCCUUAUUUAGUGAGGAAAGGAAAAGUAGAUCUAGAUCUGAUGGUUAUAAGAUGAAAGAAUGUUGAGUAGAGAAUUAGGCAAUUAUUAUAGUAGUCACUGUACUUGGGAGAUUCUAGGUGUCUCGAACUACCUAGCCUAUCUUUACAUUUUCUGCAUUUUAUCAUU